This 54-nucleotide transfer RNA is filed under the name Trichuris sp. KE396. RNAcentral describes it as "tRNA-Ser". Lineage: Eukaryota; Metazoa; Nematoda; Enoplea; Trichinellida; Trichuridae. The record is from RNAcentral.
AGAAAAGGCUAAUUAAGCUUCUAACUUAAUAUUUGAUAUAUAAUCACUUUUCUU